UACGUAGGGGGCAAGCGUUGUCCGGAGUUACUGGGCGUAAAGCGCACGCAGGCGGUCUGUUAAGUUUGGCGUGACAGUUGGUGGCUUAACUGCCAAAGUGCUUCGAAAACUGAUCGACUUGAGGGCUUCAGAGGGACACGGAAUUCCGGGUGGAGUGGUGAAAUGCGUAGAGAUCCGGAGGAACACCGAAGGCGAAGGCAGUGUCCUGGGGAGUACCUGACGCUCAGGUGCGAAAGCCAGGGGAGCGAACGGG
This 253-nucleotide ribosomal RNA is filed under the name uncultured bacterium. Its description in RNAcentral is "partial 16S ribosomal RNA". It matches the Rfam family "Bacterial small subunit ribosomal RNA", at positions 524 to 776 of the family's 1533-position model. The record is from RNAcentral.